Molecule: ribosomal RNA, 372 nt
Filed under: uncultured organism
Description: partial 16S ribosomal RNA
Rfam family: Bacterial small subunit ribosomal RNA
Source: RNAcentral
GGGGGGGCAAGCGUUGCUCGGAAUUACUGGGCGUAAAGGGCGCGCAGGCGGUUUCGUCAGUCAUGGGUGUAAGCCCCGGGCUCAACCCGGGAAUGGCCUGUGAAACCACGGAACUGGAGUGCUGGAGAGGGAAGCGGAAUUCCCAGUGUAGCGGUGAAAUGCGUAGAUAUUGGGAGGAACAUCGGUGGCGAAGGCGGCUUCCUGGACAGACACUGACGCUGAGGCGCGAAAGCCAGGGGAGCGAACGGGAUUAGAUACCCCGGUAGUCCUGGCUGUAAACGAUGAAUACUUGGUGUAGGGGGUAGGAAAGUCCCCUCUGUGCCGAAGAGAACUCGAUAAGUAUUCCGCCUGGGGAGUACGGCCGCAAGGCUG